This 352-nucleotide unclassified non-coding RNA is filed under the name Hevea brasiliensis (rubber tree). The record is from RNAcentral. Lineage: Eukaryota; Viridiplantae; Streptophyta; Magnoliopsida; Malpighiales; Euphorbiaceae.
UAGGAGCAGGUGGAAAAGAUUAAGAAUCCCAUUAUCCCAAUUAUUUAAAAUUUUCUAGGGUGUCUUUCACAUACUGGGUGUGCGCCCUUUCCUGAUUAGGAGCAGGUGGAAGAAUCUGGCCACCUUGGACAUCUCAGUCAGGCAAUGGAGGUUGCUCUUGAAAAUGAGGUUGUCCGUACUCCUAUUUGAGCUCCAUAACACACAAUAUUUUUAAGGACCAGUGACAUUAUUUUUGAGCUUCUUUAUGCGAAUUGGCCAGAACCAAAAAGAUCAGAUAAGGACAAUCAUGUUAAAUCAUCCAGCUGUUGUUUAUAAUUAGUAUGAUGUGAAAAUCAUUCUCAUGAUAAUUUGG